RNAcentral lists this ribosomal RNA (253 nucleotides) under uncultured bacterium. Its description in RNAcentral is "partial 16S ribosomal RNA". It matches the Rfam family "Bacterial small subunit ribosomal RNA", at positions 524 to 776 of the family's 1533-position model. The record is from RNAcentral.
UACGGAGGGUGCAAGCGUUGUCCGGAUUUAUUGGGUUUAAAGGGUGCGUAGGCGGCUGUUUAAGUCAGCGGUGAAAGUUUUGGGCUCAACCCAGAAAUUGCCAUUGAUACUGGACAGCUUGAGUAUUGGAGGGGUACAUGGAAUUGAUGGUGUAGCGGUGAAAUGCAUAGAUACCAUCAGGAACACCGAUAGCGAAGGCAUUGUACUGGCCAAUAACUGACGCUGAUGCACGAAAGCAUGGGUAGCGAACAGG